RNAcentral lists this unclassified non-coding RNA (373 nucleotides) under soil metagenome. Its description in RNAcentral is "partial contains internal transcribed spacer 2 and large subunit ribosomal RNA". The stretch from base 1 to 120 matches the Rfam family "5.8S ribosomal RNA", at positions 35 to 154 of the family's 154-position model. The record is from RNAcentral.
GAUGAAGAACGCAGUAAAAUGCGAUAAUUAAUGUGAAUUGCAGAAUUCCGUGAAUCAUCGAGUCUUUGAACGCACAUUGCGCCUCAUGGCAUUCCGUGAGGCAUGCCCAUCUCAGCGUUAGAAAAUAUUCUCAAAUUUUAGUUUUGUGCUAAAAUUUGGAUCAUGUCAAGGAAGCUAUUACUAUUAUUGUGAUCGCUCUUUGGAAAUUGAUAGGUCUUUGAGUUGCUACUCAUAGAACGUGAUGAAUCUUUCUUCGUUCUAUUGUAAUUCACUCUGGUAGUCCUAAAACUUGUAUGCCUGUGGCAUAUCUUGUAAUUUGACCUGAGAUUGGGUAGGGAUACCCGCUGAACUUAAGCAUAUCAAUAAGCGGAGA